Molecule: long non-coding RNA, 108 nt
Organism: Sapajus apella (tufted capuchin)
Lineage: Eukaryota; Metazoa; Chordata; Mammalia; Primates; Cebidae
Exons: 3
Source: RefSeq, a predicted model, not a curated record
UGCAUCCAUUGAAAUAUAUAUAAUCCAGGCAAUAUGACUAUUUGUCCCUUGUCCUAAAUUUUCCAGAAUACUUUUCAUUGUCAUUUUGAAUUAUCAUAACAGUCCUGA